UUGAAAGGGAAACGAUUGAAGUAGUAUGUGGGGGAAUAAUUAGGGGAAAUUGAGUGAUUUUGUUGGAGGUUAGGUGAUUUUGGAUGUAUAAAAUGAUAGGGGAAGGUAGUUUUGGGAGUGUUAAGCUUAGUAUAUGUGAUGUUGGGAUGAGGAUUGAAGGAUAUUUUUGGGUAGNGUUAGUUUAAUAGAAGUUGGGUUAUGGAAGAUNNGNNNNNGAUUGAUUUNNGUUAAAAGAUUAGANAAGUGUAAAUUCGUUAAGGAUGUUGACGUA
RNAcentral lists this ribosomal RNA (271 nucleotides) under uncultured Glomeromycotina. RNAcentral describes it as "partial large subunit ribosomal RNA". Lineage: Eukaryota; Fungi; Glomeromycota. The record is from RNAcentral.